UGGGGAAUAUUGCACAAUGGGCGCAAGCCUGAUGCAGCCAUGCCGCGUGUGUGAAGAAGGCCUUCGGGUUGUAAAGCACUUUCAGCGGGGAGGGAGGCGAUAAGGUUAAUAACCUUGUCGAUUGACGUUACCCGCAGAAGAAGCACCGGCUAACUCCGUGCCAGCAGCCGCGGUAAUACGUAGGGUGCAAGCGUUAAUCGGAAUUACUGGGCGUAAAGCGCACGCAGGCGGUCUGUCAAGUCGGAUGUGAAAUCCCCGGGCUUAACCUGGGAACUGCAUUCGAAACUGGCAGGCUAGAGUCUUGUAGAGGGGGGUAGAAUUCCAGGUGUAGCGGUGAAAUGCGUAGAGAUCUGGAGGAAUACCGGUGGCGAAGGCGGCCCCCUGGACAAAGACUGACGCUCAGGUGCGAAAGCGUGGGGAGCAAACAGG
Molecule: ribosomal RNA, 429 nt
Filed under: Chloroflexota bacterium
Lineage: Bacteria; Bacillati; Chloroflexota
Description: Chloroflexi bacterium partial 16S ribosomal RNA
Rfam family: Bacterial small subunit ribosomal RNA
Source: RNAcentral